This 20-nucleotide ribosomal RNA is filed under the name Ficus callosa. RNAcentral's name for it is "partial 28S ribosomal RNA". The record is from RNAcentral. RNAcentral also lists the same sequence under 3 other names. Lineage: Eukaryota; Viridiplantae; Streptophyta; Magnoliopsida; Rosales; Moraceae.
AAUGCGACCCCAGGUCAGGC